This 408-nucleotide ribosomal RNA is filed under the name Lactococcus lactis. Its description in RNAcentral is "bacterial SSU rRNA". It matches the Rfam family "Bacterial small subunit ribosomal RNA", at positions 28 to 425 of the family's 1533-position model. Lineage: Bacteria; Bacillati; Bacillota; Bacilli; Lactobacillales; Streptococcaceae. The record is from RNAcentral.
GACGAACGCUGGCGGCGUGCCUAAUACAUGCAAGUUGAGCGCUGAAGGUUGGUACUUGUACCAACUGGAUGAGCAGCGAACGGGUGAGUAACGCGUGGGGAAUCUGCCUUUGAGCGGGGGACAACAUUUGGAAACGAAUGCUAAUACCGCAUAAAAACUUUAAACACAAGUUUUAAGUUUGAAAGAUGCAAUUGCAUCACUCAAAGAUGAUCCCGCGUUGUAUUAGCUAGUUGGUGAGGUAAAGGCUCACCAAGGCGAUGAUACAUAGCCGACCUGAGAGGGUGAUCGGCCACAUUGGGACUGAGACACGGCCCAAACUCCUACGGGAGGCAGCAGUAGGGAAUCUUCGGCAAUGGACGAAAGUCUGACCCGAGCAAACGCCCGCGUGAGUGAAAGAAAGGUUUUUCG